AACCUAGCACACCUGCGGUGUGUACCUGCGGAGGGAUCAUUAGCGAGUGUAAAACUCCAAAACCCACUGUGAACAUACCUUUUCUAGUUGCUUCGGCGGGCGGCUCCGGGGGAGCCUCCAGGCCUUUUUUAGGUGCCCGCCGACAGCGCCUCAAAACUCUUAUUCUCUUAGCGAGCUUCGGCUUCUGAGUGUAUAAUACAAACAAGUAAAAACUUUUAACAACGGAUCUCAGAUCGGAAG
This 240-nucleotide unclassified non-coding RNA is filed under the name soil metagenome. RNAcentral describes it as "partial contains 5.8S ribosomal RNA, internal transcribed spacer 2, and large subunit ribosomal RNA". The record is from RNAcentral.